RNAcentral lists this ribosomal RNA (303 nucleotides) under uncultured bacterium. RNAcentral describes it as "partial 16S ribosomal RNA". It matches the Rfam family "Bacterial small subunit ribosomal RNA", at positions 507 to 807 of the family's 1533-position model. The record is from RNAcentral.
AGCAGCCGCCGCGGGAAUACAGAGGGUGCGAGCGUUAAUCGGAUUUACUGAGCGUAAAGCGUGCGUAGGCGGCUAAUUGAGUCGGAUGUGAAAUCCCCGAGCUUAACUUGGGAAUUGCAUUCGAUACUGGUUAGCUAGAGUGUGGGAGAGGAUGGUAGAAUUCCAGGUGUAGCGGUGAAAUGCGUAGAGAUCUGGAGGAAUACCGAUGGCGAAGGCAGCCAUCUGGCCUAACACUGACGCUGAGGUACGAAAGCAUGGGGAGCAAACAGGAUUAGAUACCCCGGUAGUCCCUGUCUCUUAUAC